Molecule: ribosomal RNA, 241 nt
Filed under: uncultured Staphylococcus sp.
Lineage: Bacteria; Bacillati; Bacillota; Bacilli; Caryophanales; Staphylococcaceae
Description: partial 16S ribosomal RNA
Rfam family: Bacterial small subunit ribosomal RNA
Source: RNAcentral
CGGACGGGUGAGUAACACGUGGAUAACCCACCUAUAAGACUGGGAUAACUUCGGGAAACCGGAGCUAAUACCGGAUAAUAUUUUGAACCGCAUGGUUCAAAAGUGAAAGACGGUCUUGCUGUCACUUAUAGAUGGAUCCGCGCUGCAUUAGCUAGUUGGUAAGGUAACGGCUUACCAAGGCAACGAUGCAUAGCCGACCUGAGAGGGUGAUCGGCCACACUGGAACUGAGACACGGUCCAG